RNAcentral lists this ribosomal RNA (519 nucleotides) under Lasiodiplodia theobromae. Its description in RNAcentral is "eukaryotic LSU rRNA". The stretch from base 156 to 309 matches the Rfam family "5.8S ribosomal RNA". Lineage: Eukaryota; Fungi; Ascomycota; Dothideomycetes; Botryosphaeriales; Botryosphaeriaceae. The record is from RNAcentral.
CCUGCGGAAGGAUCAUUACCGAGUUUUCGAGCUCCGGCUCGACUCUCCCACCCUUUGUGAACGUACCUCUGUUGCUUUGGCGGCUCCGGCCGCCAAAGGACCUUCAAACUCCAGUCAGUAAACGCAGACGUCUGAUAAACAAGUUAAUAAACUAAAACUUUCAACAACGGAUCUCUUGGUUCUGGCAUCGAUGAAGAACGCAGCGAAAUGCGAUAAGUAAUGUGAAUUGCAGAAUUCAGUGAAUCAUCGAAUCUUUGAACGCACAUUGCGCCCCUUGGUAUUCCGGGGGGCAUGCCUGUUCGAGCGUCAUUACAACCCUCAAGCUCUGCUUGGAAUUGGGCACCGUCCUCACUGCGGACGCGCCUCAAAGACCUCGGCGGUGGCUGUUCAGCCCUCAAGCGUAGUAGAAUACACCUCGCUUUGGAGCGGUUGGCGUCGCCCGCCGGACGAACCUUCUGAACUUUUCUCAAGGUUGACCUCGGAUCAGGUAGGGAUACCCGCUGAACUUAAGCAUAUCAA